GGCUUUUUGAGAUCGUUAUCAUUUCUCUGAAGAGAAUACUCUUUGGUGGAACAUUUCUUGCAAUGGAAUAUAUUUACCAUGCAAGUAUAACAAGGUGGUAUAAGUUCCACCAAGAACUUUCUGUCUGCCAAAGAGGGUUAAUUACUACUUUGUGAAACUUGGUACUGAGUCUCGCAGUUCUAGUAAUAUGAGCCAAGGUUUGGGAACCUUAAUAACCAGAUGAAUCAGACAAGUCAUCAAGAGUUAAAACAAAUUUAUGGAAACUACCAAGAGUGAGAUAUGUUGUAUAUAUGGAGAUUUUGUUUGAAGGGCAAAAAAUAAUGUGUAAGAUGACUUCAUUUAGAACACCAGAUGUAAUUAAAAACAAGAAAA
Oxyura jamaicensis (ruddy duck) is the source of this 372-nucleotide long non-coding RNA. RefSeq lists it as uncharacterized. The record is from RefSeq and is a predicted model, not a curated record. NCBI's taxonomy places the organism in Eukaryota, Metazoa, Chordata, Aves, Anseriformes, Anatidae. The transcript is spliced from 3 exons.